Molecule: transfer RNA, 72 nt
Filed under: Perca flavescens (yellow perch)
Lineage: Eukaryota; Metazoa; Chordata; Actinopteri; Perciformes; Percidae
Rfam family: tRNA
About the family: Transfer RNA (tRNA) molecules are approximately 80 nucleotides in length. Their secondary structure includes four short double-helical elements and three loops (D, anti-codon, and T loops).
Source: Rfam by way of RNAcentral
UCCCAUGUGGUCUAGCGGUUAAGAUUGCUGGUUUUCACCCAGGUGGCCCGGGUUCAACUCCCGGUAUGGGAA